Molecule: ribosomal RNA, 403 nt
Filed under: uncultured bacterium
Lineage: Bacteria
Description: partial 16S ribosomal RNA
Rfam family: Bacterial small subunit ribosomal RNA
Source: RNAcentral
AUUGAACGCUGGCGGCGUGCCUAAUACAUGCAAGUCGAACGCAGUGGGGACGGGUGAGUAACACGUGGGUAACCUCCCAUCAGAGGGGAUAACCCUUGGAAACAGGUGCUAAACCGAUACUGAUGGAUGGUCCCGCGGUGCAUUAGCUAGUUGGUGAGGUAACGGCUCACCAAGGCGACGAUGCAUAGCCGCACGGAGAGGGUGAUCGGCCACACGGGAACUGAGACACGGCCCAGACUCCUACGGGAGGCAGCAGUGGGGAAUCUUGGGCAAUGGGCGAAAGCCUGACCGAGCAACGCCGCGUGAGUGAAGAAGGUGUUCGGAUUGUAAAACUCUGUUGUCAGAGAAGCGGUAUCUAACCAGAAAGCCACGGCUAACUACGUGCCAGCCGCCGCGGUAAUUC